GCCUUCGUGGUGUAGUGGUCAGCACGCUCGACGCGUAUUCGAGAGGUCCGUGGUUCGAGUCCCGGCGAAAGCA
Molecule: transfer RNA, 73 nt
Filed under: Stegodyphus mimosarum
Lineage: Eukaryota; Metazoa; Arthropoda; Arachnida; Araneae; Eresidae
Rfam family: tRNA
About the family: Transfer RNA (tRNA) molecules are approximately 80 nucleotides in length. Their secondary structure includes four short double-helical elements and three loops (D, anti-codon, and T loops).
Source: Rfam by way of RNAcentral